UAUGUCAUUUAAAUAAUAUGUGAAUACAAAUAUUUAAAAUUUGAGUGGCACAUACAUUUUUUUAAUUUUAUCCAAAUUAUGAAAUUUUAUGGAUUAUUGUUGAAGUGUUUGCUUCUUAUAGCGUACAUAAACUCGACGAUAAGUCAAAAUGUAUGCGUUGACUGUAGCUCACACAUUGACAAGGACUGUGAAGUCAACAAUACAGGAAUGGGGUAUUUAGCUCAAGCUCCCAGGGAUAAGUUAUUACUUCAAAAACUUGGACCGGGUGAGAAAGCCGAUUCAGACUUGGAAGAGUGCAUGAAUCCGGGUUAUAAAUUUACGGGCGAAUUGUCAACUUUCUAUUGUUUUUGGUCUCCUACGUUAAAGUGCAAGGCAGUUGGAGAGAAGAAUUUUUUAAAAGUACCAACAUCAAAACAAAAGAAAGCUAUAGUAUGUCACACAUGUGCAUCGUAUUGUGGGUGCAAAUAUUCCAAAGGAUUUUCCCCUCGCACUUUUAGUAUGCAUGUAUUGGCUUUCUUAUUGGGUCUACAUCUAUUAUGUUAAUAUUAUGAAAAGUUAUUGAUAUAUAUUUUAAAUUCCGAA
Molecule: long non-coding RNA, 582 nt
Organism: Drosophila nasuta
Lineage: Eukaryota; Metazoa; Arthropoda; Insecta; Diptera; Drosophilidae
Exons: 3
Source: RefSeq, a predicted model, not a curated record